Molecule: small nucleolar RNA, 131 nt
Organism: Mesocricetus auratus (golden hamster)
Lineage: Eukaryota; Metazoa; Chordata; Mammalia; Rodentia; Cricetidae
Source: Ensembl
AGCGUUUGUGUGCAUCUUUGUUCAACUGAUAGGUAAAGGAGUGAGAGACAGAUGCAAAAGAAAAUCAGUCUUCUUUUGCAACCCAGAGCUCAUUGUUUAGUAUAGUUUUGGAACAUAGAAGAAGGACUAUG